Molecule: ribosomal RNA, 875 nt
Filed under: Salmonella enterica
Lineage: Bacteria; Pseudomonadati; Pseudomonadota; Gammaproteobacteria; Enterobacterales; Enterobacteriaceae
Also listed under: 1 other name
Description: partial 23S ribosomal RNA
Rfam family: Bacterial large subunit ribosomal RNA
Source: RNAcentral
AGACCCGAAACCCGGUGAUCUAGCCAUGGGCAGGUUGAAGGUUGGGUAACACUAACUGGAGGACCGAACCGACUAAUGUUGAAAAAUUAGCGGAUGACCUGUGGCUGGGGGUGAAAGGCCAAUCAAACCGGGAGAUAGCUGGUUCUCCCCGAAAGCUAUUUAGGUAGCGCCUCGUGAAUUCAUCUCCGGGGGUAGAGCACUGUUUCGGCUAGGGGGCCAUCCCGGCUUACCAACCCGAUGCAAACUGCGAAUACCGGAGAAUGUUAUCACGGGAGACACACGGCGGGUGCUAACGUCCGUCGUGAAGAGGGAAACAACCCAGACCGCCAGCUAAGGUCCCAAAGUCAUGGUUAAGUGGGAAACGAUGUGGGAAGGCCCAGACAGCCAGGAUGUUGGCUUAGAAGCAGCCAUCAUUUAAAGAAAGCGUAAUAGCUCACUGGUCGAGUCGGCCUGCGCGGAAGAUGUAACGGGGCUAAACCAUGCACCGAAGCUGCGGCAGCGAACGUAUCACCCAAGACAACUUUACGGAGUUGACGAUUGACGGAGCGAAGCGACGUCAAAGCGUUCAUUAAAGUCGAGUUGGCUUAGGGAUACGUUCGUUGGGUAGGGGAGCGUUCUGUAAGCCUGUGAAGGUGGCCUGUGAGGGUUGCUGGAGGUAUCAGAAGUGCGAAUGCUGACAUAAGUAACGAUAAAGCGGGUGAAAAGCCCGCUCGCCGGAAGACCAAGGGUUCCUGUCCAACGUUAAUCGGGGCAGGGUGAGUCGACCCCUAAGGCGAGGCCGAAAGGCGUAGUCGAUGGGAAACGGGUUAAUAUUCCCGUACUUGGUGUUACUGCGAAGGGGGGACGGAGAAGGCUAUGUUGGCCGGGCGACGGUU